RNAcentral lists this transfer RNA (87 nucleotides) under Bacteroidota bacterium. Its description in RNAcentral is "Bacteroidetes bacterium (activated sludge metagenome) tRNA-Ser". It matches the Rfam family "tRNA". From Rfam's summary of the family: Transfer RNA (tRNA) molecules are approximately 80 nucleotides in length. Their secondary structure includes four short double-helical elements and three loops (D, anti-codon, and T loops). The record is from RNAcentral. Lineage: Bacteria; Pseudomonadati; Bacteroidota. RNAcentral also lists the same sequence under 1 other name.
AGAGAGGUGGCCGAGUGGUUUAAGGCGCACGCCUGGAAAGCGUGUUGACGUGAGAACGUCUCGAGAGUUCGAAUCUCUUCCUCUCUG